This 3389-nucleotide long non-coding RNA is filed under the name Sus scrofa (pig). RNAcentral describes it as "lncRNA (ENSSSCG00025045142.1)". Lineage: Eukaryota; Metazoa; Chordata; Mammalia; Artiodactyla; Suidae. The record is from RNAcentral.
UGGUGAUGGCGAUAGAGGCUCCUAACAUCUUCUGUUUUAUGUUGGCUCCAGAGAAAGCUAAUUCUUUGAAGGUGGCCAUGAAUCCGGCUCCAAUCCUAAGUGAUAGAUUUAAGAGAUAACUGAAUAGAAUAAUUUUCAUUUUGAGUAUCAUCUUUGCUCCUCUGAUGCAACAGAUACUGGACAUGAGUGCUCUUAUUCUGUAUUGAAAUUCAUUUCUGCUCUCAUGUGGAAAAAAAAUCCCUUCAAAUACUAAAUGCAUAUGUAGGUUAGGGAAUGAAACAAAAGAGGGUUAUAUGAAAGUCUGUCCUAAAGAGUAAUGGCCCCAAAGCAGAUCAUUUCCCAAAACUGUCACUCUAUCUAUGCUUGUAAGGUUGGUAAGAAAAUGGGUCUAUAAUUUUUAUGUUUCUCUUGGAGGUGAAGUAAAUUAACCUGCUACAUUUGUAUCUGUGGAUUCAUUCAGCGAUAACAUACAUUUUUUUAUUCACCUGGUCAUCUGGGCUAUUGGCUUUUUUUCCCAUAAAUCUCCCUCCAAAUAAACAUUUACCCCUGCCUGGCUGGUUCAGUUUCUGAAAAAUAUCUGUUUUGAAAAGUUCUCUUCUCUACCUAUCAGAAAUCAUUACUCCAUUUUAUAUUAUUUCUAUUCUUUAGUUUAAGGCAAUCUCUUCUCUAUGCUUGUGACUUAGAUGCUUUCAUAACUGCCCCCCCCCACCCUUGCCACCGAGGAGUGAAGUGGGGAGUAGGGGGUAUUUGAAAGGUAGAAAAAUGUUUCUAAGCAAGAAAGGAAAGUUUGCAAGCAGUUACAAAGGCCAUAAUUUAGGACCAAGAAGUAAACUUUGUACUUGCUGUCAUUCUAGAUAGUUCCCCAUGGGCCUCGUAUCCCUCAUUGCUCCUUCCCACCUGUAUCCCUGGUGGGAGAUUCUGAUGCCUAAGCAUUUAGUUCAGAGCCCUUUUUGCCAAGACCUAAACCCACAUUGCCUCCUAACAUGUCCCGCAUUGUGGUGCCACAUGACCCACCUGGCCACCGCCCCCCCCCAACUCUUUUGGACUGUCUACAUGACUCCUCUUUCCAGAAAGGGAGUUCAAAGCUGUGACAAAGCAUCUUUUCUAUUUAAUCUUACUCUGAAAACAACCCUAAAGAGUUUACUGUAGGCCAGGAGGCUACUUUCCCAAUGUUCUGUUGUAUGUGUUUUUCCUGUCCCUCCCUUGCUUCCAUUUUGCUGCCAACAAAGAGAGGUGUGACCUACUCAAACCAAGGACAUUGGCUUUGCGUCAAUGUUUUCUCCUAUGUCCAAGGACUGGAGGGUGGGGGCAAAGGGGCAUAGUUGCUCAGCCCAAGACUAUAUUAAUGAGGCACCCCAAGGCUUAUCUGGGGCUAUAGAAGGGGGCGGGUAAUUUAGAUGACACAUUUGGGGAAUUCUCUGGAGCACUUUCCCAAAUGCAGGGCAUUUUACAGGUAGGGGUGCCUCUUGGUGGACCCCUCUCCAUCUGAACAUUCUUGGGAAAUACAGAAAAUCAUUCAUCUAGUGAACUAGGUCUUGUCCUCAAAAUUCUGCUUUCACCUCUGAGCUUACCUCUUCUGGGUGCCUCCCCAAUCCUCCAAGGUCAUAGUGAGAGGAACAGUGAAGAUUCACCCAUUUUCUUUUCUCCUGGGACCUCAAACGAGGCUCUACAUAUUCCACUGAAAUCGCUAAUUUAUUUUUAAAGGGCCAAUCCUUUGAGGGUAGGAACCCAUAUCUUCUCUGACUUUGCCACUGUCCCAGGGGUAGACGGAUCAUGCUGGUGAAGGAGAGGAGUGAGACUCAUGGUCACCCAGGCCACUGAGUACUCUGCCAGGCGGCAGAAUCCCUUGUCUCACUUUCUCUUUAAACUAGAUAGUCUCAAUAAAUUGAUUACAGCCAGCACGAGAACCUUUCUCUGUCUUGAAAAUUCCUACAAGGCCUUUCUAACAGGUUCUUUGAACUCUUCUCUGACUUGUUUUCCUAAGCUCUGGGCUCCCUAGGCUGAGGUAAGUACUCCCACCUCUGUGUUCCCAUGGUGAUGGUCCUUUGAACAAGUGACACUAUUUGAAAAUCGCUUUUCCGUGAGCCCUCCCUGAGCUCCUUGUAUCGAGCUCAGACGCCCACAGAAUGCUUCUCCAAGAUUUAUCUGGCCGGAUCAAUGCCCGGAGGCCAGUGUUGGAAAGCUGCUUUUGAUGCCGAGGCCACGCAGUGGUGACCUGAGGACGCGUGGCUGCGCUCGGACCACCACCACGCGAUGCCCUGAUGGCGGACGAGCCAGGUCAGCCUCUCCCUUCACUUCCCCUCGCUAUGUUACCUGCGUUUUCUAGAGGGUUCUUCCCUUCCGCGCAUCAUCUUCCCUUCCUUUUUAUGAGCUCUCAGGGUCUCUCCAUUCAUUCUCUUCUUUGAGUUGCCACGUCCCUAACACUCCCCCCAGUCCUUAAGUCAUCCCUCGGUUCCUUUCCCACUUUUUUUCUUCCCCACGCCCCCUGGAUCUUUGGUUCCCAGCACUGAUCCCUCUUAGCUAGUGAUUUUACUUCGUGUCUCCGCUCCUUUGCCAACCCUAACCUCAUCGCUCUCCAUUUCUAGGAUUUUCCCUCUUUGCCUCUCGGCUUCCAAGGUCAAGGCAAUACCUGAACAGCCACUUCGCUGCAAGAGCAAGACUGCACCGCUUGCUUCCAGCGGCGGGGGGCAGGGGCAUCUUGCAAAGAUCAAAAAAUCUGCAGCGCCUCCUGUAGGAGCAGCUGCCGGCGUCAGCCCUGAACCCGGGCCGGUGAAGAGCAGAGGCGGGAGAAGGCAAUAAGAGAAAUUCUUCCAAAGAGUCUCUUCAAUCAAUGGGAAUAAUUUUAGUCCAUCGUGCUUAUAAACUGGUUUGCAGGAUAUUUUCCCAAAGAACAAUAGAGAAAAUGAAAUGAACCAUUCAGAACUGUGUCCUGAAGUUUACCAAGAUUUUAGGGCUGGACUGUUUUCAACAGCCAAGACAUGGAAACAACCUAAAUGUCCAUCGACAGAGGAGUGGAUCAAGAAGGUGUGGUAUAUAUAUACACAAUGGAAUAUUACUCAGCCAUUAAAAGAAAUGAAAUACCAGCAUUCUUAGCAACAUGGAUGGACCUAGAAAUUAUCAUGCUAAGUAAGGUCAGCCAUACAAUGAGACACUAACAUCAAAUGCCUUCACUGACAUGUGGAAUCUGAAAAAAGGACAGAUGGAACUUCUUUGCAGAACAGAUGCAGACUUACAGACUUUGAAAACCUAAUGGUCUCCAGAGGAGACAGUUUGGGGGAUGGAAGGAUGUGCUUGGGUUGUGGGAUAGAAAUCCUGUGAAAGUGGAUUGUGAUGAUCAUUAUACAACUACAGAUGUGAUAAAUUCAUUGAGUAAUAAAAACAAACAAAAC